Molecule: ribosomal RNA, 374 nt
Filed under: uncultured organism
Description: partial 16S ribosomal RNA
Rfam family: Bacterial small subunit ribosomal RNA
Source: RNAcentral
GGAGGGUGCAAACGUUGCUCGGAAUUACUGGGCGUAAAGCGCGUGCAGGCGGUCUGACAAGUCUCGUGUGAAAGCCCUGGGCUCAACCCAGGAAGUGCACGGGAAACUGGCAGACUAGAGUGCGGGAGAAGAGGGCGGAAUUCCCGGUGUAGAGGUGAAAUUCGUAGAUAUCGGGAGGAACACCAGUGGCGAAGGCGGCUCUCUAGACCGACACUGACGCUCAGACGCGAAAGCGUGGGUAGCAAACAGGGAUUAGAUACCCUGGUAGUCCACGCCGUAAACGAUGGAUACUAGAUGUUGGGGGCUUGACCCCCCUUCAGCGUCGCAGCUAACGCAUUAAGUAUCCCCGCCUGGGGAGUACGGUCGCAAGACUA